This 523-nucleotide ribosomal RNA is filed under the name uncultured bacterium. RNAcentral's name for it is "partial 16S ribosomal RNA". It matches the Rfam family "Bacterial small subunit ribosomal RNA", at positions 355 to 871 of the family's 1533-position model. The record is from RNAcentral.
UGGGGAAUAUUGGACAAUGGGCGAAAGCCUGAUCCAGCCAUGCCGCGUGUGUGAAGAAGGUCUUCGGAUUGUAAAGCACUUUAAGUUGGGAGGAAGGGCAGUUACCUAAUACGUGAUUGUCUUGACGUUACCGACAGAAUAAGCACCGGCUAACUCUGUGCCAGCAGCCGCGGUAAUACAGAGGGUGCAAGCGUUAAUCGGAAUUACUGGGCGUAAAGCGCGCGUAGGUGGUUUGUUAAGUUGGAUGUGAAAUCCCCGGGCUCAACCUGGGAACUGCAUUCAAAACUGACAGGCUAGAGUAUGGUAGAGGGUGGUGGAAUUUCCUGUGUAGCGGUGAAAUGCGUAGAUAUAGGAAGGAACACCAGUGGCGAAGGCGACCACCUGGACUGAUACUGACACUGAGGUGCGAAAGCGUGGGGANCAAACGGAUUUAGAUACCCUGGUAGUCCACGCCGUAAACGUGUCAACUAGCCGUUGGGAGCCUUGAGCUCUUAGUGGCGCAGCUAACGCAUUAAGUUGACCG